This 26-nucleotide non-coding RNA is filed under the name Homo sapiens (human). Lineage: Eukaryota; Metazoa; Chordata; Mammalia; Primates; Hominidae. The record is from RNAcentral.
UGAUAAGGAAUAUCGGAAUGCUGUGA